GUUUGAUUUAAUAGUUAUCAUCCUGUGUGGAAUGAAGUGGAGUGACUAGAGAAAAGCUUGUGUGGAAUUGACACCAUAACAAUUUGCAUGACUGGUUUUCACAUUUAGAAAAUGAAGGAAGUAAUAGAAAUGAUGCAGAUAUGCUUUGAGCAGAAGUGAGAAGCCAGAGCUCAUCUUUAAGAAUACUCGCUAGCUGCAGGGGAUUCAGCAUAAUGAACUUCUUUGUGUAUGUGUCAGAGGAGGAGAAGAGGAAUGUUAAACCAUAAACUAAGAAAACACGGUUGUUAAGUGUUUUCUAGACAUUGACUUCGUGGG
Molecule: long non-coding RNA, 315 nt
Filed under: Gallus gallus (chicken)
Lineage: Eukaryota; Metazoa; Chordata; Aves; Galliformes; Phasianidae
Description: long non-coding RNA NONGGAT001012
Source: RNAcentral